RNAcentral lists this ribosomal RNA (1557 nucleotides) under Bisgaard Taxon 45. RNAcentral's name for it is "partial 23S ribosomal RNA". It matches the Rfam family "Bacterial large subunit ribosomal RNA", at positions 1 to 1601 of the family's 2925-position model. The record is from RNAcentral. Lineage: Bacteria; Pseudomonadati; Pseudomonadota; Gammaproteobacteria; Pasteurellales; Pasteurellaceae.
GGUUAAGUGACUAAGCGUACAGGGCGGAUGCCUUGGCAAUCAGAGGCGAAGAAGGACGUGCUAAUCUGCGAAAAGCUUGGAUGAGUCGAUAAGAGGCGUUUAAUCCAAGAUAUCCGAAUGGGGAAACCCAGUAGAUGAAGAAUCUACUAUCACUUACUGAAUACAUAGGUAAGUGAGGCGAACCGGGAGAACUGAAACAUCUAAGUACCCCGAGGAAAAGAAAUCAACCGAGAUUCUGUAAGUAGCGGCGAGCGAAAGCGGAAGAGCCAGUGAGUGUUAGCUAGUGAAUUAGAGGAAUCGGCUGGGAAGCCGAAUCAAAGAGGGUGAUAAUCCCGUACUCGAAAAUUCACGAGUGGAACUAAGCUCACAAUAAGUAAGGCGGGACACGAGAAAUCCUGUUUGAAGAUGGGGGGACCAUCCUCCAAGGCUAAAUACUCCUGAUUGACCGAUAGUGAACCAGUACUGUGAAGGAAAGGCGAAAAGAACCCCGGUGAGGGGAGUGAAAUAGAACCUGAAACCCUGUACGUACAAGCAGUGGGAGCCCGAAAGGGUGACUGCGUACCUUUUGUAUAAUGGGUCAGCGACUUAUAUUUUGUAGCGAGGUUAACUGAAUAAGGGAGCCGAAGGGAAACCGAGUCUUAACUGGGCGUUGAGUUGCAAGGUAUAGACCCGAAACCCGGUGAUCUAGCCAUGGGCAGGUUGAAGGUUGGGUAACACUAACUGGAGGACCGAACCGACUAAUGUUGAAAAAUUAGCGGAUGACUUGUGGCUGGGGGUGAAAGGCCAAUCAAACCGGGAGAUAGCUGGUUCUCCCCGAAAUCUAUUUAGGUAGAGCCUUGAGCGGACACCUUCGGGGGUAGAGCACUGUUUCGGCUAGGGGUCCAUCCCGGAUUACCAACCCGAUGCAAACUACGAAUACCGAAGAGUGAUACUCAGGAGACACACGGCGGGUGCUAACGUUCGUCGUGGAGAGGGAAACAACCCAGACCGCCAGCUAAGGUCCCCAAGUCUAUAUUAAGUGGGAAACGAAGUGGGAAGGCUUAGACAGCUAGGAUGUUGGCUUAGAAGCAGCCAUCAUUUAAAGAAAGCGUAAUAGCUCACUAGUCGAGUCGGCCUGCGCGGAAGAUGUAACGGGGCUCAAAUAUAGCACCGAAGCUGCGGCAUCAGAUGUAAAUCUGUUGGGUAGGGGAGCGUUGUGUAAGCGGAUGAAGGUUGCUCGAGAGGGUGGCUGGACGUAUCACAAGUGCGAAUGCUGACAUAAGUAACGAUAAAACGAGUGAAAAACUCGUUCGCCGGAAGACCAAGGGUUCCUGUCCAACGUUAAUCGGGGCAGGGUGAGUCGGCCCCUAAGGCGAGGCUGAAAAGCGUAGUCGAUGGGAAACGGGUUAAUAUUCCCGUACUUGGAUAAACUGCGAUGUGGGGACGGAGAAGGUUAGGUAAGCGAACUGUUGGAUAUGUUCGUUUAAGCAGGUAGUUGGAAAGGGUAGGCAAAUCCGCUCUUUCAUACAACAACGAGACGUGAUGACGAGGCUCUACGGAGCUGAAGUUACCGAUACC